GGGGAAUAUUGGACAAUGGGGGAAACCCUGAUCCAGCCAUGCCGCGUGUGUGAAGAAGGUCUUCGGAUUGUAAAGCACUUUGAGUUGGGAGGAAGGGUUGUUGGCUAAUACCUAGCAAUUUUGACGUUACCGACAGAAUAAGCACCGGCUAACUCUGUGCCAGCAGCCGCGGUAAUACAGAGGGUGCAAGCGUUAAUCGGAAUUACUGGGCGUAAAGCGCGCGUAGGUGGUUCAGUAAGAUGGGUGUGAAAUCCCCGGGCUUAACCUGGGAACUGCUUUCAUAACUGCUGAGCUAGAGUACGGUAGAGGGUAGUGGAAUUUCCUGUGUAGCGGUGAAAUGCGUAGAUAUAGGAAGGAACACCAGUGGCGAAGGCGACUACCUGGACUGAUACUGACACUGGGGUGCGAAAGCGUGGGGAGCAAAC
Molecule: ribosomal RNA, 425 nt
Filed under: uncultured bacterium
Lineage: Bacteria
Description: bacterial SSU rRNA
Rfam family: Bacterial small subunit ribosomal RNA
Source: RNAcentral